ACUCCUACGGGAGGCAGCAGUGGGGAAUUUUGCGCAAUGGGGGAAACCCUGAUCCAGCCAUGCCGCGUGUGUGAAGAAGGCCUUAGGGUUGUAAAGCACUUUUAACUGGGAGGAAGGCUUUAACGCUAAUACCAUCGUUUACGGCGUUUACUACCAGAAGAAGCACCGGCUAACUCUGUGCCAGCAGCCGCGGUAAUACGGAGGGUGCAAGCGUUAAUCGGAAUUACUGGGCGUAAAGCGCGCGUAGGCGGUUUGUUAAGUUGGAUGUGAAAGCCCUGGGCUCAACCUGGGAACUGCAUUCGACACUAACGCACUUGAGCGUGGUAGAGGGAGGUGGAAUUCCAAGUGUAGCGGUGAAAUGCGUAGAUAUUUGGAAGAAUACCGGUGGCGGAGGCGGCCUUCUGGCUCGCCACUGACGCUGAGGUGCGAAAGCGUGGGGAGCAAACCGGACCAGAUACCCUGGCAGUUCACCCGAUGUCGCUACACCCUGAAUUCGACUUCCCUCUUAAUACUGCAGCUAGCGCACUAAGUUGUCCGCCUGGGGAAUACGGUUGCAAGGUUAAAACUCAAAUGAAUUGACGG
This 582-nucleotide ribosomal RNA is filed under the name uncultured bacterium. RNAcentral's name for it is "bacterial SSU rRNA". It matches the Rfam family "Bacterial small subunit ribosomal RNA", at positions 335 to 916 of the family's 1533-position model. The record is from RNAcentral.